RNAcentral lists this ribosomal RNA (305 nucleotides) under uncultured bacterium. RNAcentral describes it as "bacterial SSU rRNA". It matches the Rfam family "Bacterial small subunit ribosomal RNA", at positions 332 to 636 of the family's 1533-position model. The record is from RNAcentral.
CUCAGCCUCGGGGCGCAGCAGUGAGGAAUAUUGGUCAAUGGUCGGGAGACUGAACCAGCCAAGCCGCGUGAGGGAGGAAGGUACAGAGUAUCGUAAACCUCUUUUGUCAGGGAACAAAGGCGGGGACGUGUCCCCGGAUGAGUGUACCUGAAGAAAAAGCAUCGGCUAACUCCGUGCCGGCAGCCGCGGUAAUACGGAGGAUGCGAGCGUUAUCCGGAUUUAUUGGGUUUAAAGGGUGCGCAGGCGGUCUGUUAAGUCAGCGGUCAAAGCCCGGGGCUCAACCCCGGCCCGCCGUUUGAACCGGG